GGCUGCAGUUUACUGAUGCCAGCCCAGGCAGAAACAUCACCUGGCUGAGCUGCUGCAGGAACAUCAGAAGCUAAAUGGGGAACUUGCCACUGAGCCUGAAGAUCACCCCUGCUAAUUCCCACAACCCCAUUAUUUCUCCUUGAAAACAUACAUUUCAGCAAGAGCAGAGAGUGACAGAGCAGUCCUAGGAUGUGACCAUAACUAUGGAGCUUAUAUGUGUGGUGAACCCAGAACAGCCUGCAUAGCAACCUGUUUCUCUGAACAUCUUGGAUGAUUUUGGGGAGGAAGUUUUCUUUGAACCCACGGAUGCCCUUGCAAUGUGCUAUCCUGAGAAACCAGAACCUCAGCUCCAACGGAUGCCUCAAACAGCUAUAGGAGCCAUCCUGACCCAAGAAGAUGAAGGGAUUGAGAGACCGGUGGCAUAAGCAAGCCAUAAGCUACUCCCCACAGAGACACGGUGCCACACUACAGAAGAGUCACUGAACACUGAAAAACAAACGACGACAGGACAAGGAAUGCAAGGCAGACAGCCAGAUCAAAAUCUUAGAAUGCUCCAAGACAUCUUGAGGCGGGGGGUUGUGUCCCGGGGGAAGGAGCGCUGAAAAGAAGAAACACUUACCUCCUGCAGGGAAGAGCAAGCCAUGGCGAGGAGAACCACCGGCGCAGUUCAUCAGCUGCUUUUAUUGCCGGCUGGCAGUGGCACUGGCAGAUGACAUCAGAAAAAACCGCCACCUGGCAGAUUUAAAAGCUGGUGGCAGGGAAAUGGCAGCAGAGCCAACUGGGAUGCUGAGGGGCGAAGGCGCUCCCCAGCCAACGUUCCAGGAAAGCCUGCAGCCCCAGCAGGGUGAGAUGGAGAUCCCUUAAAAGGGGCUCACCCCACACUGGUGGGGCCUGCCACAUCGACCAGCAGGACAGCCAAGAAAGUGAGAGACAACAUUGGGGGACCAGAGACGGUCUAAGACGGUGGACCCAUGAGUGGGGCGGGCAGAAGCCUACACCCAGACCCUUUCGUUAUUUUUUUCUCUUCAUUUUUUUUUUUUUGUUCCUGACUUAUCCUAUCUUGGAGGGCACACAGAGAGUGCCCUUCCCCCCCCCCCCCGAAAGACUCUUCAUGGGUCUGAGGCCAUGGACAAAGAUUGAGGCCAGUUUGGGCAAGAGCCUCAGAGGAGGGGCAGGAGCAAAAGCGGAGAUAAGUGUACACCCUGCAAUCGUUGGGAGUAGCUGAGCCAAGGAGCGGGCCGAAGACCCAUCAUCCAGCAGCCCAAAAGGUUGGUGCUUGGUUGGGGUAUAGGGGAGGUGGAGCCCCAAUAAUGCUUCUGGUGAGGGAUACCAGGAGUAGCGAGAAACCCCAGGAGGAACCCCACUCCAGGAACAUAUAGAGUUGACCCACGGCAGGCAACUGUCAGGGCUCCCCUCAGGGUGGAGCAUUACCUGAUGCCUAAGUUCCAGGGACACACCCCUCAGAUGGGGCUGGGAGAACGCUGGAAGGCUGCCCAUGACCACCUAUUCGAAGUCCAAUGAGGGCACAUGUAUUACUGCUUUUCUAGAAAACUCUAGGUAUUACCUUUCAGUUUUCUUGCAUAAGAAUGGACUAUUAUCAAAGGAAAUACUUUCUUAAAAAGAAAAGAAAAGAAUGCAUGCGGAAUUCAAUAUGUUGUUUUACUGAGUGGUAUAUAAUGAAAAUCUUAUUACGAAUUUGUAGAAUUUGGCAUUUGGCCCACAAAACUGAAAGCAGAACUCAUAAAUCAAUAGAGUUAAGCAAAAUUAAAUCAGGGAGGACUUUCCUUGGAUGCUGGAUUUGUACCAGAUCUCUGAGAUGUUCAUUAUGUGUUCUGUGUAUAAUACCAUUAGGAAACAAAAAUAAUUAUCCCUGAAAACUGGACUUAAAUAAUGUUAAAUUUGUGAAUUAAACCAAUACAAGCAAGGAAAUUUAAAGUUAAGAUCAAUAUACUAUCCCCAUAUCAUUUUGUUCAAUAUCAGAAAGUGUAAGGUUAUCCACUUACUGAAAGCACAUCUAAAAACGUAGAUACUUGCUAAACAAAAAGGAGCUUAAGGCAACUUGAAAUGGGAAAGCUAGUUAUGGAAAUGGGUAGGGGAAUGGAAGCACCAAGAAAUCAGAUAAAAUCACUGGGUAUAGAGACAUACAGUAGUUGAAUCCUGCCACCUGGAUUGAUUCAUUCCACUUUUGACCACUGUAUUUUAAAUAACGAGUUCCAAAGGACUCUAUGAGCUCCAAGGUUCAUUAAACACUUCCUUCAGAAGAUGUCAAUUCUAAAAAAAAUAGGGAAACUGCCUUUCAGUUUCUUGUUAGAACUGCAGUGUCCAAAAAGAGCACCCAGGAGGCUUUCAGAUCAGGCCUUGUGUCUCUGUCCAGCUUUUUGUUACUGAUGUCUUUUUGAUAAUAUAUUGUAUUACAUGAUAAAUAAUAACACCAAAUUACAUAUUUUGCUGUGUUUCAAAUGAAGCUUUGCUAAUGUCAUAAACAGUGUUUGGUGAAUCGGAACAGUACCCCUCAAAUGAAAUAAAACC
Long non-coding RNA from Alligator mississippiensis (American alligator), 2529 nucleotides. RefSeq lists it as uncharacterized. The record is from RefSeq and is a predicted model, not a curated record. Lineage: Eukaryota; Metazoa; Chordata; Crocodylia; Alligatoridae. The transcript is spliced from 4 exons.